GUGGGGAAUAUUGGACAAUGGGGGGAACCCUGAUCCAGCCAUGCCGCGUGUGUGAAGAAGGCCUUUUGGUUGUAAAGCACUUUAAGCGAGGAGGAGGCUACCGAGAUUAAUACUCUUGGAUAGUGGACGUUACUCGCAGAAUAGCACCGGCUAACUCUGUGCCAGCAGCCGCGGUAAUACAGAGGGUGCAAGCGUUAAUCGGAUUUACUGGGCGUAAAGCGCGCGUAGGUGGCCAAUUAAGUCAAAUGUGAAAUCCCCGAGCUUAACUUGGGAAUUGCAUUCGAUACUGGUUGGCUAGAGUAUGGGAGAGGAUGGUAGAAUUCCAGGUGUAGCGGUGAAAUGCGUAGAGAUCUGGAGGAAUACCGAUGGCGAAGGCAGCCAUCUGGCCUAAUACUGACACUGAGGUGCGAAAGCAUGGGGAGCAAACAGGAUUAGAAACCCCAGUAGUCC
RNAcentral lists this ribosomal RNA (450 nucleotides) under uncultured bacterium. RNAcentral's name for it is "bacterial SSU rRNA". It matches the Rfam family "Bacterial small subunit ribosomal RNA", at positions 354 to 796 of the family's 1533-position model. The record is from RNAcentral.